AAACGAUGCCGAUGUCGUGGUGCCGAAUAAUGGCGACGCGAAAGAGAAAUCGAGUAGGGCCCUGGGGAGAGUACACGCGCAAGCGAGAAAUUUAAAGGAAAUUGACGGAAGAACACCACAAGGAGUGGAGUGUGCGGCUUAAUUUGACUCAACGCGGGACAACUUACCGGGCCCGACGACCGUAUGAGUGUAACACACGAUAGGUCGAAGAGUGGUGCAUGGCCGUUAACGACGAGUGGAGUGAUCUUUGGGUUAAGUCCGUAAAUUAGUGAGACCUCAGCCGUAAGGGACAGGUGCGCAAAGCACAGGAAGGAUGGGUCAAGGACAGGUCAGUGAUGCCCUUAGAUGGUCCGGGCUGCACGCGCACUACAGUGGUCGCCGAAAUUACCUGAUAAUUUUAAAGGCGAUCGAGAGGAAAUGAGCUUUGUAAGAGGCUCAGGAACGAGGAAUUGCUAGUAAUCGCGGACUCAUUAAGACGCGAUGAAUACGUCCCUGUUCUUUGUACACACCGCCCGUCGUUAUCGAAGAUGAAGAUAGGCGCGAACGAUCUACCAGAAAGUGAGCGCAGGUCUUUAGAUCUGAUACAAGUCGUAACAAGGUAGCUGUAGGAGAACCUGUAGCUGG
Molecule: ribosomal RNA, 624 nt
Filed under: Loma lingcodae
Lineage: Eukaryota; Fungi; Microsporidia; Glugeidae
Description: SSU rRNA
Rfam family: Microsporidia small subunit ribosomal RNA
Source: RNAcentral